GAUGAACGCUGGCGGCGUGCCUGAUACAUGCAAGUCGAGCGAACAGACGAGGAGCUUGCUCCUUCGACGUUAGCGGCGGACGGGUGAGUAACACGUAGGUAACCUACCUAUAAGACUGGGAUAACUUCGGGAAACCGGAGCUAAUACCGGAUAAUAUUUCGAACCGCAUGGUUCGAUAGUGAAAGAUGGCUUUGCUAUCACUUAUAGAUGGACCUGCGCCGUAUUAGCUAGUUGGUAAGGUAACGGCUUACCAAGGCAACGAUACGUAGCCGACCUGAGAGGGUGAUCGGCCACACUGGAACUGAGACACGGUCCAGACUCCUACGGGAGGCAGCAGUAGGGAAUCUUCCGCAAUGGGCGAAAGCCUGACGGAGCAACGCCGCGUGAGUGAUGAAGGUCUUCGGAUCGUAAAACUCUGUUAUUAGGGAAGAACAAACGUGUAAGUAACUGUGCACGUCUUGACGGUACCUAAUCAGAAAGCCACGGCUAACUACGUG
RNAcentral lists this ribosomal RNA (497 nucleotides) under uncultured bacterium. Its description in RNAcentral is "partial 16S ribosomal RNA". It matches the Rfam family "Bacterial small subunit ribosomal RNA", at positions 28 to 507 of the family's 1533-position model. The record is from RNAcentral.